Molecule: ribosomal RNA, 475 nt
Filed under: uncultured organism
Description: partial 16S ribosomal RNA
Rfam family: Bacterial small subunit ribosomal RNA
Source: RNAcentral
ACACUCCUACGGGAGGCAGCAGUGGGGAAUUUUGGACAAUGGGCGAAAGCCUGAUCCAGCCAUGCCGUGUGCAGGAUGAAGGCCUUCGGGUUGUAAACUGCUUUUGUACGGAACGAAACGGCCUUUUCUAAUAAAGAGGGCUAAUGACGGUACCGUAAGAAUAAGCACCGGCUAACUACGUGCCAGCAGCCGCGGUAAUACGUAGGGUGCAAGCGUUAAUCGGAAUUACUGGGCGUAAAGCGUGCGCAGGCGGUUAUGUAAGACAGUUGUGAAAUCCCCGGGCUCAACCUGGGAACUGCAUCUGUGACUGCAUAGCUAGAGUACGGUAGAGGGGGAUGGAAUUCCGCGUGUAGCAGUGAAAUGCGUAGAUAUGCGGAGGAACACCGAUGGCGAAGGCAAUCCCCUGGACCUGUACUGACGCUCAUGCACGAAAGCGUGGGGAGCAAACAGGAUUAGAUACCCCUGUAGUCCCAUG